RNAcentral lists this ribosomal RNA (253 nucleotides) under uncultured bacterium. RNAcentral's name for it is "partial 16S ribosomal RNA". It matches the Rfam family "Bacterial small subunit ribosomal RNA", at positions 524 to 776 of the family's 1533-position model. The record is from RNAcentral.
UACGUAGGUGGCAAGCGAUACUCGGAAUCACUAGGCGUAAAGCGCAGGUAGGAGGUUUAGCAAGUCUCUUGUGAAAGCUCCCGGCUUAACUGGGAGAGGUCAAGGGAAACUACUAGGCUAGAGUGCGGUAGAGGUAGCUGGAAUUCCCGGUGUAGCGGUGAAAUGCGUAGAUAUCGGGAGGAAUACCUAUGGCGAAAGCAGGCUACUGGACCGUCACUGACUCUGAUCUGCGAAAGCUAGGGGAGCAAACAGG